This 795-nucleotide ribosomal RNA is filed under the name uncultured bacterium. RNAcentral describes it as "bacterial SSU rRNA". It matches the Rfam family "Bacterial small subunit ribosomal RNA", at positions 601 to 1396 of the family's 1533-position model. The record is from RNAcentral.
CCCGGGGCUCAACCUCGGAACCGCAUUUGAAACUGGCAGGCUAGAGUCUUGUAGAGGGGGGUAGAAUUUCAGGUGUAGCGGUGAAAUGCGUAGAGAUCUGAAGGAAUACCAGUGGCGAAGGCGGCCCCCUGGACAAAGACUGACGCUCAGAUGCGAAAGCGUGGGUAGCAAACAGGAUUAGAUACCCUGGUAGUCCACGCCGUAAACGCUGUCUACUUGGAGGUUGAGGUUUAGACUUUGGCUUUCGGCGCUAACGCAUUAAGUAGACCGCCUGGGGAGUACGGCCGCAAGGUUAAAACUCAAAUGAAUUGACGGGGGCCCGCACAAGCGGUGGAGCAUGUGGUUUAAUUCGAUGCAACGCGAAGAACCUUACCUACUCUUGACAUCCAGCGAAGCCUUUAGAGAUAGAGGCGUGCCUUCGGGAGCGCUGAGACAGGUGCUGCAUGGCUGUCGUCAGCUCGUGUUGUGAAAUGUUGGGUUAAGUCCCGCAACGAGCGCAACCCUUAUCCUUGUUUGCCAGCACGUAAUGGUGGGAACUCCAGGGAGACUGCCGGUGAUAAACCGGAGGAAGGUGGGGACGACGUCAAGUCAUCAUGGCCCUUACGAGUAGGGCUACACACGUGCUACAAUGGCAGAUACAGAGGGCAGCGAAGCUGCGAAGUGGAGCGAAUCCCUUAAAGUCUGUCGUAGUCCGAAUUGGAGUCUGCAACUCGACUCCAUGAAGUCGGAAUCGCUAGUAAUCGUGGAUCAGAAUGCCACGGUGAAUACGUUCCCGGGCCUUGCACACACCGCCCG